AUGCCUAACACAUGCAAGUCGAACGAAGUCCUUCGGGGCUUAGUGGCGCACGGGUGCGUAACGCGUGGGAAUCUGCCUUUGGGUUCGGAAUAACAGUGAGAAAUUACUGCUAAUACCGGAUGAUGUCUUCGGACCAAAGAUUUAUCGCCCAAAGAUGAGCCCGCGUAAGAUUAGCUAGUUGGUGAGGUAAAGGCUCACCAAGGCGACGAUCUUUAGCUGGUCUGAGAGGAUGAUCAGCCACACUGGGACUGAGACACGGCCCAGACUCCUACGGGAGGCAGCAGUGGGGAAUAUUGGACAAUGGGCGAAAGCCUGAUCCAGCAAUGCCGCGUGAGUGAUGAAGGCCUUAGGGUUGUAAAGCUCUUUUACCAGGGAUGAUAAUGACAGUACCUGGAGAAUAAGCUCCGGCUAACUCCGUGCCAGCAGCCGCGGUAAUACGGAGGGAGCUAGCGUUGUUCGGAAUUACUGGGCGUAAAGCGCACGUAGGCGGCUAUUCAAGUCAGAGGUGAAAGCCCGGGGCUCAACCCCGGAACUGCCUUUGAAACUAGAUAGCUUGAAUCUUGGAGAGGCGAGUGGAAUUCCGAGUGUAGAGGUGAAAUUCGUAGAUAUUCGGAAGAACACCAGUGGCGAAGGCGACUCGCUGGACAAGUAUUGACGCU
RNAcentral lists this ribosomal RNA (659 nucleotides) under Blastomonas natatoria. Its description in RNAcentral is "bacterial SSU rRNA". It matches the Rfam family "Bacterial small subunit ribosomal RNA", at positions 44 to 747 of the family's 1533-position model. The record is from RNAcentral. Lineage: Bacteria; Pseudomonadati; Pseudomonadota; Alphaproteobacteria; Sphingomonadales; Blastomonadaceae.